This 233-nucleotide long non-coding RNA is filed under the name Elaeis guineensis (African oil palm). Its description in RNAcentral is "long non-coding RNA (EGUI_LNC071630)". Lineage: Eukaryota; Viridiplantae; Streptophyta; Magnoliopsida; Arecales; Arecaceae. The record is from RNAcentral.
CCAACAUAACUAGUAUUAUUUCCCUCAAAGUGACUUAGCUUCUCCUUUAUUUUCUUUUUCCAAGCAUCCAAUACACACACCUCCAUUCCAUAUUCUUACCACUUGCACAAAAACAUCUCACUUGAGAAGAGAUAUUUUCCCCUUAACAACCUUUCUUCCAUCCUCCUGGCCAGAUCCAUGCCAUGCAUUGGAUCUCUAGCAUGUUUUGCGCUAGGCCUUCGUAACGUAUCACC